UACAGAGGGGGCAAGCGUUAUUCGGAAUUCUUGGGCGUAAAGGGCGCGUAGGCGGCCUGGCAAGUGGAAGGUGAAAUCCCUCGGCUUAACCGAGGAACUGCCUCCCAAACUGCUUGGCUUGAGACCGGGAGAGGUGAGUGGAAUUCCCAGUGUAGCGGUGAAAUGCGUAGAUAUUGGGAGGAACACCAGUGGCGAAGGCGGCUCACUGGACCGGUACUGACGCUGAUGCGCGAAAGCGUGGGGAGCAAACGGG
This 253-nucleotide ribosomal RNA is filed under the name uncultured bacterium. Its description in RNAcentral is "partial 16S ribosomal RNA". It matches the Rfam family "Bacterial small subunit ribosomal RNA", at positions 524 to 776 of the family's 1533-position model. The record is from RNAcentral.